Molecule: long non-coding RNA, 1313 nt
Filed under: Mus musculus (house mouse)
Lineage: Eukaryota; Metazoa; Chordata; Mammalia; Rodentia; Muridae
Description: predicted gene 45765
Source: RNAcentral
CUACUCCAACAAGGCCACACCUCCUAAUAGUGCCACUUCCCCUGGGCCAAGCAUAUUUGAACCACCACAGCACCUGAUGAUAGAAGAAUGACAGGGACACCUUGAUCUCACACGCAUGUGCUCACCAGCCAAUCAUAGAUCAUUCUCCUCCUGAUGGUGUGAAGGACGGCACUGAAUUCCAGCUAUAAAGGUCAGUUGUCCCACUGGUAGAGAUAGGAGAUCCAGCCUUGGGAAGCAUCCUGAGGUCCUGGCCCAGUGGGUCUGAUCAGGUGAGGAGUGGCUUAUAAGAUGCCCUGGGGGCUCUGCCAGACCUCAGUCAAAGCAACAUCCGGCAAGUACCAGCAAAACUGGAGCACAAUGACAAGCAGGCACACAGAGAAGCAAGGCAACUACUGUCAUCCUUAACUUUGUCUUGACUUUCCUACUUGGCUAUGAUCUCUUUGUUGUUGUUGUUGUGUUUGUUGAGGACAGCCGCGCAAAGUUGGCCAGUGAGUGGUGGGGGUAUCUCCAGGCUGCCUACUCUUGUGACCUCGGGGCAAAUAAUGGGAUCCCACCAGCAAUGUGCACCACAGUUGAGAGCCCUGGCGAGGACCGUGCCCCAUCACCCGCCUCUCUGCCUUCCAUCUUGCCUGCUAUCUGGCUGGAAUGCUACCACCACUCUCAAUGACCAGUAGGCCAACGGGGUGACAGUUACCAAUCGAAGGGCGAAGGAGGCCGCGGUGCUCGGAUGUCCCAGGUUCAGCCCCUGUGGAAUUAAUGUGUAGAGAGCCUGAGCCAGGGGUACUCUUUGUUGCCAGGCACCGGGGCUCUUUCUUAGCCACGAAAUGGCCGUUGCUGCCACAUGGUGACCGUGACGACAUCUGCACCCUGAACCGCCGCCUUCUCCACUCCCCCUCCCCCACUCCUUCUGCCCCUUGGCUGCUCAGUGCUGGGGGAGCACGUGCUGAACUCUCUGGCAAGGGAGAUAAUGACUUCUGCUGGCCUGGAGAACUUAGUGCCUGGAAGAUGUAGAAGAGUGUUUGAGAGAGAGCCAUGACUUGCUCAGGAUAAUGCCUCAUGGGAAAAAUGUCACCGGAGCCUUAUGGUCUUCAUCCGUUAAAUAAGACAAUUAAAAUGAAGCAACUUCAAAUCUCUUUACAUAAGGAGAUGUGUAGUACAAUGUGUAGUAGUGGAUGCAGUGCAAGCUGUUUUCACAUAAUUACAAUUGUCCGUUAAACAGUUAAACUACUGAAGGGCUGAGACACUUCACCACCACUGUGACAAAUGCCCCCUGCUUUGUGUCGCCAGUCAUGUGGUAAUGAAAUGUCGAUGAC